RNAcentral lists this ribosomal RNA (408 nucleotides) under uncultured bacterium. RNAcentral describes it as "partial 16S ribosomal RNA". It matches the Rfam family "Bacterial small subunit ribosomal RNA", at positions 28 to 526 of the family's 1533-position model. The record is from RNAcentral.
GACGAACGCUGGCGGCGUGCUUAACACAUGCAAGUCGAACGGAGUGGCGAACGGGUGAGUAACACGUGGGUGAUCUGCCUUGCACUUCGGGAUAAGCUUGGGAAACUGGGUCUAAUACAGGAUCGUGCAAGAUGAGCACGGGGCCUAUCAGCUUGUUGGUGGGGUACUGGCCUACCAAGGGGUCGACGGGUAGCCGGCCUGAGAGGGUGUACGGCCACGUUAGGACUGCGAUACGGCCCAGACUCCUACGGGGGGCAGCAGUGGGGAAUAUUGCACAAUGGGCGGAAGCCUGAUGCAGCGACGCCGCGUUGGGGAUGAAGUCCUGCGGGUUGUAAACGCCUUUCGACAGGGACGCGGUACCUGUAUAAGAAGCACCGGCUAACUACGUGCCAGCAGCCGCGGUAAUAC